RNAcentral lists this ribosomal RNA (256 nucleotides) under uncultured bacterium. RNAcentral describes it as "partial 16S ribosomal RNA". It matches the Rfam family "Bacterial small subunit ribosomal RNA", at positions 524 to 776 of the family's 1533-position model. The record is from RNAcentral.
GACGUAGGUGGCGAACGUUAUCCGGAAUCAUUGGGCGUAAAGGGUGCGUAGAUGGCAUGAUAAGUUAUUAGUGGGAAAUCGAGGCUCAACCUCGUGGAAGCUAGUAAUACUGUUUUGCUUGAGUGCAGAAGAGGUUAACGGAAUUCCAUGUGGAGCGGUAAAAUGUGUAGAUAUAUGGAAGAACAUCAAUAACGGCGAAGGCAGUUAACUAUUCUGCUACUGACAUUGAGGCACGAAAGCGUGGGGAGCAAAACGG